AGUGAAUAGAUACCCCGGUAGUCCUAGCCGUAAACGAUACUCGCUAGGUGUCGGCCACGGUGCGACCGUUGUCGGUGCCGUAGGGAAAGCCGUGAAGCGAGCCACCUGGGAAGUACGGCCGCAAGGCUGAAACUUAAAGGAAUUGGCGGGGGAGCACCACAACGGGUGGAGCUUGCGGUUUAAUUGGAUUCAACGCCGGAAAUCUUACCGGGACCGACAGCAAUAUGAAGGCCAGGCUGAAGACUUUGCCGGAUUAGCUGAGAGGUGGUGCAUGGCCGUCGUCAGUUCGUACUGUGAAAGCAUCCUGUUAAGUCAGGCAACGAGCGAGACCCACGCCCACAGUUGCCAGCGUACUCUCUGGAGUGACGGGUACACUGUGGGGACCGCCGCUGCUAAAGCGGAGGAAGGAAUGGGCAACGGUAGGUCAGUAUGCCCCGAAUAUCCCGGGCUACACGCGAGCUACAAUGGUUGGUACAAUGGGUAUCUACCCCGAAAGGGGAUGGAAAUCUCCUAAAGCCAAUCUUAGUUCGGAUUGAGGGCUGCAACUCGCCCUC
This 554-nucleotide ribosomal RNA is filed under the name uncultured bacterium. RNAcentral's name for it is "bacterial SSU rRNA". It matches the Rfam family "Archaeal small subunit ribosomal RNA", at positions 724 to 1275 of the family's 1478-position model. The record is from RNAcentral.